GUUCAAGCUUGGAAAUGAGUCUUUUAAGUAUAAAUUGGAAAUCUUGAUGCAAACCAUGGAGUACAAUAGGGUGGAACUCACUCAGGGAGCUCCAGCUGAGAGGAAUGUGUAACUUAGUACAACAGUACCAGUACCUCAGGAGGAAGAAAAAGGAGACCACCACCAACACCCACCAUGGUGAAUACUUACAGGCAAAGCCCAUCAUUUCCAAGAGAGUGGAUCUGUUUGCUGCCAACACAGCCUCCAGAUAGAGCUGCA
Molecule: long non-coding RNA, 258 nt
Filed under: Heterocephalus glaber (naked mole-rat)
Lineage: Eukaryota; Metazoa; Chordata; Mammalia; Rodentia; Bathyergidae
Description: lncRNA (ENSHGLG00100045927.1)
Source: RNAcentral